RNAcentral lists this transfer RNA (76 nucleotides) under Candidatus Pacebacteria bacterium CG10_big_fil_rev_8_21_14_0_10_56_10. RNAcentral's name for it is "tRNA-Asp". It matches the Rfam family "tRNA". From Rfam's summary of the family: Transfer RNA (tRNA) molecules are approximately 80 nucleotides in length. Their secondary structure includes four short double-helical elements and three loops (D, anti-codon, and T loops). The record is from RNAcentral. Lineage: Bacteria; Bacillati; Minisyncoccota.
GGACCCGUAGUGUAGCGGUUAACACGCCUGCCUGUCACGCAGGAGAUCGCCGGUUCGAAUCCGGUCGGGUUCGCCA